This 360-nucleotide unclassified non-coding RNA is filed under the name Hevea brasiliensis (rubber tree). The record is from RNAcentral. Lineage: Eukaryota; Viridiplantae; Streptophyta; Magnoliopsida; Malpighiales; Euphorbiaceae.
CAGCAUCAGUUAUGAUUGUUUCCUGUAAGCAGCAUCAAUACUUCUUUGUGAGAUCAACGCCAAGAAUGUCAGAGACAAAUAAAAAGCACAUAACCAUUUAUAUUACUGUUGAAUGUUUUUCCACAUUAUUUUCGUUAUUUGUUUCAAACAACAUAGCUGAUUUUUCAUCAACAUGCGAUUCAGCAGCAUGAGCUGAGUCCCACCAUUUUUUUUUUUUUGAGAAUAACCACUCUUUUUCUUCCCUUGUUGAGACAAUAUAAUCAAGAUAGACUAUGGUUAUGCAACACAAAUGGGAAGAAAUGAACUGAGAAUUCCAUUUCAACCACUGAGAAUUGUACCGACCUUCAAAGUAGCCUCUUG